ACUGGUUCAUUAACCUGUUCUUGAACUUCAUUUAGUUCUUGAACUUCAACUGGUGAAGAUGGUAAUUUCCUUGGCAACUUCAAAACAUCAAAUAAAGGUUCUUCAACUUGGGUCUCAAGAUCUUCAUAUUGAGUUGAUUCAUUAGUUUCUUGAUCUUCAUCAAGUUCUAUCUCUCCAUUAUAAUUUCCUUCCAAAAGAA
RNAcentral lists this long non-coding RNA (199 nucleotides) under Nicotiana benthamiana. Its description in RNAcentral is "long non-coding RNA (NBEN_LNC037239)". The record is from RNAcentral. Lineage: Eukaryota; Viridiplantae; Streptophyta; Magnoliopsida; Solanales; Solanaceae.